CAGGAGAUAGUUUAAUUAGAACUCCAGCUUUGGGUGUUGGAAGUAGGGUUUUUUGCUCUUCUCUUGA
This 67-nucleotide transfer RNA is filed under the name Lasiurus borealis (red bat). RNAcentral describes it as "tRNA-Pro". The record is from RNAcentral. Lineage: Eukaryota; Metazoa; Chordata; Mammalia; Chiroptera; Vespertilionidae.